CGGGCGGGCGACAGGGAAGCAAGGAAGAUGCUCAAAAUGGCGCUGGGGCCGGGCUGCAGGGAGGGCGAGGGAAGAGACGGUGGCCGCCAUGACAGCCGCUUCGGGAUGCUCGGUCCCCGCGCCCGGCGUCUCCUUUCCGGAUCUUCCAGACGCCACGGAAGGAAGGGAGCCCGGGCGCCUCCUUUUCGUUUUUGUUUUAUUUAAACAAAUGCCGCGAGGGAGGCCGAGGACGCGAGCUUCAUCUGCCAUCUCACCGCUGUCUGCUGUCCCCCACCGCGCCCAGCCAGGCUCCUUGCAAACCCGGCAAAGCGGGAAGCCGAGGAUCGAUCUCCCCCAUCUGCCUCCUGGUUUGUUCCGGGGAACGCGGAGAUUUAAAGGGCCCUGGAAAGCCAUCCAUCCUCCUUAGGUUUACUUAAUAUUUCUCUGGCUCAGAAACAGACACCGCAGGGUUACCUCCCCAGCAGAUGCUGCCAUUCUACGAAAGCAGUUUAUUUCCUGGGCCUCCCAGACUUUCCCCUGGACCAGAAGGACGGACGGGAACUUGGAGUACCAGGCACUGGGAGGCCACAACUGUCAAGAGAAGCCGGGAGCCAACAUAGGUCAUGACAUAUAGGACUAGACAGGCUCUCCCAUAUUUUUUUUAACUGGUCCCUCAGUGUGGCUAGUGCACACAUCUUAUUCAGCUGGAAUUUAAUCCCUUAAACUGUCUUAAUAUAGAAUUCAUCUCCUGUAUUAAAUAAUCCUAUGUCAUGUUAAGUUGCACUUAUUUCUUCAUAAAUAAAUUAAUAUAGAACAAUUA
Molecule: long non-coding RNA, 799 nt
Organism: Mirounga angustirostris (Northern elephant seal)
Lineage: Eukaryota; Metazoa; Chordata; Mammalia; Carnivora; Phocidae
Exons: 2
Source: RefSeq, a predicted model, not a curated record